CCCCUGGUGGCUUAGAUAGUAAAGCAUCUGCCUGCAAUGCACGAGACCUGGGUUCGAUCCCUGGGUUGGGAA
Molecule: non-coding RNA, 72 nt
Organism: Bos taurus (domestic cattle)
Lineage: Eukaryota; Metazoa; Chordata; Mammalia; Artiodactyla; Bovidae
Source: Rfam